UACGUAGGCAGCAAGCGUUGUUCGGAGUUACUGGGCGUAAAGAGUGUGUAGGCGGUUCUCUAAGUUCCGUGUGAAAUCUCCCGGCUCAACUGGGAGGGUGCGCGGAAAACUGGAGGGCUCGAGUAUGGGAGAGGAAAGCGGAAUUCCUGGUGUAGCGGUGAAAUGCGUAGAUAUCAGGAGGAACACCUGCGGUGUAGACGGCUUUCUGGACCAUCACUGACGCUGAGGCGCGAAAGCCAGGGGAGCGAACGGG
RNAcentral lists this ribosomal RNA (253 nucleotides) under uncultured bacterium. RNAcentral describes it as "partial 16S ribosomal RNA". It matches the Rfam family "Bacterial small subunit ribosomal RNA", at positions 524 to 776 of the family's 1533-position model. The record is from RNAcentral.